AAACAUUAAAAUCAAUUGGUUAGCCGAUUCGACUCAUAAUCGAUUGGUCACUGGUUCAAGUCCAGUAGGGGUCACCA
Molecule: transfer RNA, 77 nt
Filed under: Gilliamella sp. App6-5
Lineage: Bacteria; Pseudomonadati; Pseudomonadota; Gammaproteobacteria; Orbales; Orbaceae
Description: tRNA-Met
Source: RNAcentral